This 500-nucleotide ribosomal RNA is filed under the name uncultured bacterium. RNAcentral's name for it is "partial 16S ribosomal RNA". It matches the Rfam family "Bacterial small subunit ribosomal RNA", at positions 30 to 523 of the family's 1533-position model. The record is from RNAcentral.
AUUGAACGCUGGCGGAAUGCUUUACACAUGCAAGUCGAACGAUGAACCUUAGCUUGCUAAGGGGAUUAGUGGCGAACGGGUGAGUAAUGUAUCGGAACGUAUCCAAUAAUGGGGGAUAACUAGUCGAAAGAUUAGCUAAUACCGCAUACGUCCUACGGGAGAAAGCUAGGGACCUUCGGGCCUGGCGUUAAUGGAGCGGCCGAUAUCUGAUUAGCUAGUUGGUGGGGUAAAGGCUCACCAAGGCGACGAUCAGUAGCUGGUCUGAGAGGACGACCAGCCACACUGGAACUGAGACACGGUCCAGACUCCUACGGGAGGCAGCAGUGGGGAAUUUUGGACAAUGGGCGAAAGCCUGAUCCAGCCAUUCCGCGUGAGUGAAGAAGGCCUUCGGGUUGUAAAGCUCUUUCGCAAGGGAAGAAAACUUAAGCUCUAACAUAGCUUGAGGUUGACGGUACCUUGAUAAGAAGCACCGGCUAACUACGUGCCAGCCGCCGCAGUAA